CUAACAUGGCGGCGCCCUCUGUGUGUCCUGAGUGCCGUCCCGCCUUCCUGCGGCCGUGACGCCCUCUGCUGCGGUGGGGUCCGGGACACGGCGGGUGAGGGUAAUGUGCUGGAGCAGGAGAGCCAAGCUGGAGUUUCCCUGGACAAGCCGUCGGAACAGAGUAGCCUGGGCUUCUUGGAAAUCUGAGUGUGUCCCCAAACCCCCGCCUCUGGUGUACAACCAAAGGAGGAAUCACGACUGUUCCAGUGCUGGAGGGAAAGCUGGCUGAGAGAAUCCGUUCUGUCCCCAGCGCGACUGGAUUGCUGACUCUGAUGAUGGGCCUGGUAAUCUCCUUCUGCUGACUCCAAAAGUCCUGAGUCGGCCGUUUGACCCUUAAGACAGUGCCUUCCUGUCCUGGGCUUGCUCCUACGCUGCCUUCCACAGUCGGUCUAACUGCUGGGUCUGCGGAGCACUCCCCUCUUCAUCGGUGGAAGGCUUCCCGUGGUGGACGUCUCCACUUAAAGGAGAAGACUUUCUCUAAGUCUGCGAAUACCUUUGGCAACAACAAUCAUAUGUGAUGCCUCUUCUUCAUCUGAUGACGUCUCACAGUUGUAAAGUGGACUGGUGUAACACUUUGUGCCUCAGCUAUGGACGUAAUGUGACUUUUACCGUUGCGGAUUGUUCUGUUCUCGCUGUUUGCGCCCAGCAUCUGUAACUGUGUAGCUGGAUUUGUUUCUAGGUGCAUGAAAGCUUUUAAGUUACAAAUGGUUGCUCAAACUCCUGCCACUGCGCAGCUUCCUCCAGCUACUCCUCCAACUACUGCUGGGGGCCCCUGGAUCGGAGACCCUGAAUAUGAGGGUUAGGAGAAUAUGUUGCCUCACCAAUUCAGAGAUGAUGCCCCUUUGCUUAGGCGACGUAAUCCUCCUAAAAGAAAAGGGGGACUGAGAGGGUAACCGGCAGAAAGGCCAGGGGUCUCCAAACGGAGGAAACGGGCUGCACGCGCCAGACGCUUUUUCUCUCCUAAGCGGCAGGAGGAGACAAACUGCAAGUGUCAGGUUUGGGGCGUCCCUGGGGCUCAGCUGGCGAAGAAUCCCCUGCGAGGCGGGAGGCCCCAGUUCGAUCCCUGGGCUGGGAAGAUCCUCUGGAGAAGGGAAAGGCUGCCCACUCCAGUACUCUGGCCUGGGGAAUCCCAUGGACUGUAUAGUCCAUGGGGUCACAAAGAAUUGGACACGACUGAGUGACUUUAAAUAUAAAUGUAAAAUAUAAAGUUAAAAAGAGGUUUGUUUUAAAGUCUGUGUUGCCGUGAUGACACCUGGUUCCACCUGAACUUCUCAAACCUUGAGCUAACCAACGCACUUUUCUUACAGAAAUGCUUUCUGAGCUAUGUUAAUGAACUGUGCAUUUACCCUAGGCUCUGUCUUCAAGUCAGGGCCACCUGAGACUCAGAACUGACUUGACAAGCCAGUGUGUUCUACUCCUGCACGUGUUCUCUCAAGCUGUGCUAGUGAGACCACGUUUCUGCUUGGAAACCUGUCUUUCUUCAAGAUUCGUGUGGACCGUUCAUGGCCCGGGACGCCUCACCUGGCGCCGGUGCUGGCUCAGCGCAUGUCGUGGGCGGGGCCUGGCGCCAGCCUCUGAGUUUUGAGACAUUUCCUUUCUCUAAUCAGCAGCCUGCUAGUAGCUAUGUAUCACCUGGCUAAAGACUAGCAGGGGGCACUCUUUCUGCCCCUUUCUGAUGUCUGUGUCAGAAGCUUUCUCUAUUUCUUUCGUACUUUAAUAAAAGGUAAUGGCAACCCCACUCCAGUACUCUUGCCUGGAAAACCCCAUGGGCAGAGGAGCCUGGUGGGCUGCAGUCCAUGGGGUCGCGAAGAGUCAGACACGACUGAGUGACUUCACUUUCACUUUUCACUUGCAUGCAUUGGAGAAGGAAAUGGCAAC
Budorcas taxicolor (takin) is the source of this 1917-nucleotide long non-coding RNA. RefSeq lists it as uncharacterized. The record is from RefSeq and is a predicted model, not a curated record. The transcript has 4 exons. NCBI's taxonomy places the organism in Eukaryota, Metazoa, Chordata, Mammalia, Artiodactyla, Bovidae.